Gallus gallus (chicken) is the source of this 2799-nucleotide long non-coding RNA. RefSeq lists it as uncharacterized. Lineage: Eukaryota; Metazoa; Chordata; Aves; Galliformes; Phasianidae. The record is from RefSeq and is a predicted model, not a curated record. The transcript has 2 exons.
CCUAGAGUAGAGUAAUUCAGAAUAAAUGGUAAGCUCCAUAAGAAACAAAAUAACAAAAACAAACAGACAAACAAACCAAAACAAAACAAAGUUCCUUUCCUAAUACUAAAGUAUCUCCUUUUCAUUUUGGGGGAGGAUAUCAUUUCUGGAUCUAAACAACCCAGCAGAACACUUGAUCAACCAUAGUUAACCAGACAGAGCAUGUUACACUGAGAUGGUGCCUCACACCAGAACAUUAAGUUCCUUCUGAAUCUGCCUAUAUCUUUGCAGUUUACCACGUAAAAAGUCAACCUCCGCCUCCUCCCAGUAUUGGGGUGGAGGUAGUACCACUUUCUACCCAAUGAUUCCUUUGCCAUUGCACAUGUUGAAGAAACUUUGGACAGCUCUGCAGCUUGCUUGGGCUUCUCCACUCCCUGGUACCUAUCUGCUGCUCUAAACAGUACCAGAUCGCGGUUUUCCUUUUUCAUCUUCUAUUUAUGAUAUUGUAAGACUAAGAUAUUGUAGGAGAAGACUUAGGCAAACCGAAAUAUAUCAGAACAAGAACACUCUGAAAAAUACCCAAGCUCAUCCAUGAUUUGGUAUACGGCCUGCUAUGGAGAAAAAACCCAACAACAAUAAAAACACACAGGCAAGCUUGAAAAAGGAUACAGAGAAACAAAGUUCCUGUAAUUUUUAAGUAAUCUGUUGCCUAAAAAGUGGAAUAUUUAAAUUAUUACCCCUCGUGAAAGAAAGUGCAAACUGUGAACGUGCAAUUACCUGUUAUAUUUCUAUUUGCUGGCCAGUGAAUCAAGAAGCAUGGAAUGCCUGGUCAGUUAGCACACAUGUAAGCUCAGAAGCAGCAACAGUCUGCUUCCUCAUGCCCUGCGCUUGGUGAAGCAUAAAGGAAGUUGUGACAAAUGUGAGGCAGCAUUAGGAGAAGUAGAGAAUAUAAUGGUGAGAAGAUGGACUAGGCACACAGGAGGAAGCUGCAGAGAGGAAGGGUAUACUAAAGAAUCAACCUGGACCAAGACAAGGUAAACCUGGGGACUGUGAACAGGAAGACAGCCCAGUGGGCAGGGCAUAGACCCACCAGAAGACAAACAAUUAGUUGUGUUGCCUAUUUUUGCCUUUUUUUUUUAAUAUUCUAAAUAACUUUAUGAUUUCCAUAACUUUAAGAACUUUCUAACAGCUUUAAGUAACACUACUGCCUGGAAACAAUGGCCAGAAAUGCAACACUGCAGUUGCUCUGUGCUCAAAAGCUUUGGUUGUUUUUUCUUUUGUAUAUACCUAAAAAACUAAGGUUAGCUCAGUGGCAACACUGAAGAUUCUCGCAUUAACUCCACAGAAAAGGACAAUUAUUUGGUAAGUUCUCAACACAAAUGUUUACAACUAGUCAGAAGAUGCACAGAAUUGGAAGUAAAAGAACUAUUUGAAAAAUUAAUUGUUUUAAAAGCAUUGGCUGGUUGUUAAUUAAGACAGAUGAGUAAAUAAAAAAUAUUUUAAGUGCAAGUGCUAUUUUUAGUGCAAUCUUCAAACCAAAUGAAGGUGCCCUGGAGUGGCAGUUCUUUGUUAUUGAGAUCUCUGAAUUAAGAUAACUCUGAAUAACUCGAAGCCAACAAAUACUAGAGGUAUUAAAUACCCAGUACUACUUAAUCCUCCUCUGAGCAAAGGUAAGUGGGGAGGGGGAAGGAAAGACAAUUCAUAUGUCAUUCAAACAGCCAGGCUUUUACCAUGCAGGCCUACAUUUUAUAGAAAAUGCAAAGUCUUAUUUUGUUGGCAAAUGUAUAAAAGAUUAUGUGCUAGAAGGAGUUUCAUUUCACUGUGGAAAAGAAUAUGACAGUGAGAAAAGGUUUUUCAGUUUAGAAAAUACGGGCAUCUGAAUGAAAAGAGUCUACAUGCUGCCUUCCUCUACUAACUCAGAUGGCAUCAUUAAUCUUCUGACCCCAUGCUCUCAGAAGCUAAGUCCAUCAGUCAGUUAUGCAUGUAACGAAGUCCACAAAGUUAUUUUAGCAUAUAUAAAAAGAAGAACUGAAAAGAGUUUGGCUUCCUAACAUGCUGUACGGAAACAACAACAGUACAGACAGUGCUUAGUGCCUACUGUAAUGAGUUGAAUUUAUUGACAGUCUUGCACUGAAACAUGAAAACAUGAAUAAAUCAGAAAAGUCCUUUAGAAAAUACUGCAGAAUCGCUCAGUACACAUUUAGUUAUAAGGUACAGCAGGAAUCUGAACAUUUCCCUUACUCACCAGCUGAGAAAUUGACAUACAAUAACACAGCUUAUUCCAAAAUCUUACUGGGACUUUUCAGUAUACUAAUGGGGGAAAUUGAGUGCCUUCUUGACAACUGUAUAACAAGUAAUUCCCUUGCAGAACUGCUAAUGUGACCAAAGUUAAGUAACUCAAGUGCUGUAAAAUGAAUAGGCAAAUGAGCAGAACUGAAAAAUAGUUGAUGUAAUAAAAGCUGUUUCUAGUGUACUCAUACAUUCAGAACUGCACCAGCAUUUACACACUUUCAUACCAUUAUUUCCCUACUAGCAUUUUCUUCCCACAAUCCCACGCUAAAGUAACUGCCAUCUGUUGUCAUUGACAGAUAACCAAGCAUACGUUAUUUGCCCAUUGGUCCAAUUCAUUCUGAUGACUGAAGAAAAUGGUGAAUGUUUACAGCUGAUGAGGCAAUUAUUCUGCUCCUUCCACAAGGCAGGUGUGACUUGACUCUUCAUUUCAGCAAAAUCAAGACAGAAGUACUAAUGGCUGUAACAAACUACUUCCUUUGAUGUAAUUACGAUGGAAUCUUUUCAAAAUAGGAAAAUCAGAAACGCUUA